GGAGAGCUCGCCUAGUGGACGAUGGCGGCGGUCUUGAAAACCGCUAGGGGCUUGACGCUCCUCGUGGGUUCGAAUCCCACGCUCUCCGC
This 89-nucleotide transfer RNA is filed under the name Microtetraspora sp. NBRC 16547. Its description in RNAcentral is "tRNA-Ser". It matches the Rfam family "tRNA". Rfam says of the family: Transfer RNA (tRNA) molecules are approximately 80 nucleotides in length. Their secondary structure includes four short double-helical elements and three loops (D, anti-codon, and T loops). Further hydrogen bonds mediate the characteristic L-shaped molecular structure. tRNAs have two regions of fundamental functional importance: the anti-codon, which is responsible for specific mRNA codon recognition, and the 3' end, to which the tRNAs corresponding amino acid is attached (by aminoacyl-tRNA synthetases). tRNAs cope with the degeneracy of the genetic code in two manners: having more than one tRNA (with a specific anti-codon) for a particular amino acid; and 'wobble' base-pairing, i.e. permitting non-standard base-pairing at the 3rd anti-codon position. The record is from RNAcentral. Lineage: Bacteria; Bacillati; Actinomycetota; Actinomycetes; Streptosporangiales; Streptosporangiaceae.